CUUUUUGAGGGUUUGAUCCUGGCCCAGGAUGAACGCUGGCGGCGUGCCUUAGGCAUGCAAGUAGAACGAGAACUAGUAGCAAUACUAGUUAGAGUUGCGAACGGCUGAGUAACACGUAAGAACCUGCCUCUUGGAGGGGAAUACCUCGUCGAAAGACGGGUUAAUACCGCAUAAGAUCGUAAGAUGAAAGCUUUUGUAGUAAUACAACGGCGCCGAGAGAGGGGCUUGCGGCCCAUCAGCUAGUUGGUAGGGUAAAAGCCUACCAAGGCUACGACGGGUAGGGGGCGUGAGAGCGCGUUCCCCCAGAAUGGCACUGAGAUACGGGCCAUACACCUACGGGUGGCAGCAACCGGGAAUUGUACGCAAUGGACGAAAGUCUGACGUCGCGACGCCGCGUGAGGGAUGAAGGCCUUAGGGUUGUAAACCUCUUUUGCCGAGUGGGAGACCACUCGGAGAAUAAGUACUUGCUAACUCUGUGCCAGCAGCAGCGGUAAUACAGAGAGUACAAGCGUUAUCCGGAUUUACUGGGCGUAAAGCGUUUCGUAGGCGCUUCACUAAGUUAUGUUUCAAAGACCGGGGCUCAACCCCGGGAAGGGAUGUAAUACUGGUGGAGUCAGAAUUAUGUCGGGGCUAUUGGAACUGUCGGUGUAGGGGUGAAAUCCGUUGAUAUCGACAGGAACUCCGAGGGCGUAGGCAGAUAGCUAGGCAUAUAUUGACGCUGAGGAACGACAGCUAGGGGAGCGAAAGGGAUUAAAUUUAGUCCCCUUUAAUGGAGACAUUAAUGAAAAAUUUGGCUAUAUCGGUGAAAUUCCUAAACAAAGACUACAAAUCUUUAGGAGAAUACCGAGGGAACCUUUAAUAUUUUAUAUUUUAGGACACCGUAGAGACUACACGCCAAACCCCUGAUUUAUCAGGGUGAAGAUAUAGUCCGAUCUUCGUAGUAAUACGAAGAGUUCUAUAGAAAUAUAGAGCCGCCACAAGACAACUUGUGGUUAGUAACUCAUUUAAUCUUUGAGUGAAAGUAACAUACAUGUAGAGACCCCUGUAGUCCUAGCCGUAAACGUUGCUCGCUAGCUUUCUCUAUGUAAUGUAGAGGGGGCGUAAGCUAACGCGUGAAGCGAGCCGCCUGGGGAGUACGAUCGCAAGAUUAAAACUCAAAGGAAUUGACGGGGACCUGCACAACCAGCGGAGCAUGUGGUUUAAUUCGAGACGAACCGAAGAACCUUACCCAGAUUUGACAUGUAAGGCAUUUAGGCAACCAGAGAUGGAUGCUGAUCUUUAUAAAUAUAGAGAACUUUACACAGGUGUUGCAUGGCUGUCGUCAGCUCGUGCCGUAGGGUGUUCCCUUAAGUGGGGUAACGAGCGCAACCCCUUUCGUAUGUUGAAUUGUUCAUACGAUACUGUCGGCCUUUGGCCGGAGGAAGCGGGGACGACGUCAAGUCAGCAUGGCCCUUAUAUCUGGGGCUACACACAUACUACAAUGGAGCCGACAAUGGGUCGCCAAGCCGUAAGGCGGAGCUAAUCCCAUCAAACGGCUUCUCAGUGGGGAUUGUGGGCUGCAACUCGCCCACAUGAACGUGGAGUUGGUAGUAAUCGCGGGUCAGCUAAACCGCGGUGAAUACGUUCUCAGGUCUUGUACACACCGCCCGUCAAGUCAGCAAAGUUGGGGGCAGCCGAACCUCGCGUGAGCGGGGGAAGUUGACACCAGCGAUGAGGAUUAAGUCGUAACAAGGUAUCCCUACUGGAAGGUGGGGAUGGAUCACCUCCUUU
RNAcentral lists this ribosomal RNA (1770 nucleotides) under Candidatus Woesebacteria bacterium. Its description in RNAcentral is "bacterial SSU rRNA". It matches the Rfam family "Bacterial small subunit ribosomal RNA". The record is from RNAcentral. Lineage: Bacteria; Candidatus Woeseibacteriota.